Molecule: ribosomal RNA, 710 nt
Filed under: Bacillus sp. KLBMP 2450
Lineage: Bacteria; Bacillati; Bacillota; Bacilli; Caryophanales; Bacillaceae
Description: bacterial SSU rRNA
Rfam family: Bacterial small subunit ribosomal RNA
Source: RNAcentral
AGUCGAGCGGACAGAAGGGAGCUUGCUCCCGGAUGUUAGCGGCGGACGGGUGAGUAACACGUGGGUAACCUGCCUGUAAGACUGGGAUAACUCCGGGAAACCGGAGCUAAUACCGGAUAGUUCCUUGAACCGCAUGGUUCAAGGAUGAAAGACGGUUUCGGCUGUCACUUACAGAUGGACCCGCGGCGCAUUAGCUAGUUGGUGAGGUAACGGCUCACCAAGGCGACGAUGCGUAGCCGACCUGAGAGGGUGAUCGGCCACACUGGGACUGAGACACGGCCCAGACUCCUACGGGAGGCAGCAGUAGGGAAUCUUCCGCAAUGGACGAAAGUCUGACGGAGCAACGCCGCGUGAGUGAUGAAGGUUUUCGGAUCGUAAAGCUCUGUUGUUAGGGAAGAACAAGUGCAAGAGUAACUGCUUGCACCUUGACGGUACCUAACCAGAAAGCCACGGCUAACUACGUGCCAGCAGCCGCGGUAAUACGUAGGUGGCAAGCGUUGUCCGGAAUUAUUGGGCGUAAAGGGCUCGCAGGCGGUUUCUUAAGUCUGAUGUGAAAGCCCCCGGCUCAACCGGGGAGGGUCAUUGGAAACUGGGAAACUUGAGUGCAGAAGAGGAGAGUGGAAUUCCACGUGUAGCGGUGAAAUGCGUAGAGAUGUGGAGGAACACCAGUGGCGAAGGCGACUCUCUGGUCUGUAACUGACGCUGAGGAG